UACGAACCGUGCUAACGUUGUUCGGAUUCACUGGGCUUAAAGGGCGCGUAGGCGGACUCGCCAGUCUGUGGUGAAAGCCCCCAGCUUAACUGGGGAAGUGCCGUGGAUACUGCGAGUCUGGAGGAGGGUAGGGGCAUCUGGAACGCUGGGUGGAGCGGUGAAAUGCGUUGAUAUCCAGCGGAACUCCGGUGGCGAAGGCGAGGUGCUGGACCCUUUCUGACGCUGAGGCGCGAAAGCCAGGGGAGCAAACGGG
RNAcentral lists this ribosomal RNA (253 nucleotides) under uncultured bacterium. Its description in RNAcentral is "partial 16S ribosomal RNA". It matches the Rfam family "Bacterial small subunit ribosomal RNA", at positions 524 to 776 of the family's 1533-position model. The record is from RNAcentral.